UGGUUUACAUAUAUAAUUUCACGAAGUUCUCCUGAUGAUUCUAAGGGAGGAUUACUCCAUUUUACAAAGGAGGAAACUGAGAUUCAGAGUGGCUGGUGUCGGGGAAGUGGGAGAAUUCCCCCCACGGCUUUUCCUCAAGGUUCUUAUGGCUGGUCAAAUAAUCUAAGAGGCAGAGAGACUGAGUCCUCCAGGAGGUUAAAACUUACCCAAGGGCAUGCCGCUGUGAGUCGUAGAGCUGAGACUUGAACCCAGAACCACAGAUCCACUUUUUCCUGAUCACUGAUUCAAAACCACAACGGUGGUCUUUCGGCUGCCAUUCUGUGUGCUCCUACGAAGGUGAUAGACAUGUGGAGCAGAGGAGAGCUGCACAGUUGCAGUGUGGAGCAGAGCCACCCCAUGAGCCCAGCUUCUAUUAGCCAACCAGACAACUUGCAGAUGUAAGUGAGCCAGCCGAGAUCAGCAGAGCCACCCCAUAAAGCCCAGCUCCGUCAACUGAUCUCCAGCCAACCCACAGACAUUUGAG
RNAcentral lists this long non-coding RNA (523 nucleotides) under Equus caballus (horse). RNAcentral's name for it is "lncRNA (ENSECAG00000056750.1)". Lineage: Eukaryota; Metazoa; Chordata; Mammalia; Perissodactyla; Equidae. The record is from RNAcentral.